UUUCUUGACCAUAUCUUUCGUACAAAAAUUCUAGACGAACCUAUCCAUUCUCUAGGCAGCCUCCUAUGUUUUUCUUUUUUAUGUGCAAUAGCUCGAAAAAUCUUUUGGAAGUGACAUGCUUCGGUAUCAUGGGUUCUCCUCGGUGAAGGUUCUUUCCCUUUCCAAUAAACGCCCCUAUUUCCUCCAGUGUGGGAGUAAGCUCAAAGUCGGAGAAUCGAAUACGUUGUUUGAAGGAUCCCAAA
RNAcentral lists this long non-coding RNA (242 nucleotides) under Capsicum annuum. Its description in RNAcentral is "long non-coding RNA (CANN_LNC021757)". Lineage: Eukaryota; Viridiplantae; Streptophyta; Magnoliopsida; Solanales; Solanaceae. The record is from RNAcentral.